GACCCUCCUUUUCUGGUAAUAGGAGCAGGUCCCCACACAUCAGAGUGAAUAAGAUCAAAUGGUGCAACAGAAUGAGAAACACUACGAGGAAAAGGUAAAGCUGAAAAUUUGGCUAAUUUGCAACCACUACAAUUAGAAAUGUCAUGAGUUUGCAAAUUUCCCAAAUGACCCGUAGAAACUAAAAAUUUCAAACGACUAGCGAAAACAUGUCCAAGGUGAGAAUGCUACAAAUAAAAACUAGAAGACGAUGAAUUCAAAGAAAAAGAUGACAAGUCAACACCGGAGGCUGCAACAUAUGUUAGUCUCAGAUUGUCCAGAACAUAUGACCCUCAUUGUCU
Molecule: long non-coding RNA, 338 nt
Filed under: Olea europaea (common olive)
Lineage: Eukaryota; Viridiplantae; Streptophyta; Magnoliopsida; Lamiales; Oleaceae
Description: long non-coding RNA (OEUR_LNC003706)
Source: RNAcentral